RNAcentral lists this long non-coding RNA (231 nucleotides) under Capsella grandiflora. RNAcentral describes it as "long non-coding RNA (CGRA_LNC001518)". Lineage: Eukaryota; Viridiplantae; Streptophyta; Magnoliopsida; Brassicales; Brassicaceae. The record is from RNAcentral.
UUUUUUUUGUUGUGUUAGUGUUAUUGAAACGUAUAAAAAAUGUCAAAAUGCAAUGAUUACUAUAUCUGUUUUUAUUAUAGGUUAUGAUAUGGUUCGUAUACUUGUAUCUUUAGUUGCUUGCUAAACGGUAUACAAUUCUUUCUUAUUACGUAUCCAAGUCUCUGCCUUAUAAAAAAAAAAUGCUUUUCUGUUUUGUUUAUAUUUACUAAGUUAUGCAAUAAUUAUUUAAAA